RNAcentral lists this ribosomal RNA (206 nucleotides) under uncultured Caulobacter sp. RNAcentral describes it as "partial 16S ribosomal RNA". It matches the Rfam family "Bacterial small subunit ribosomal RNA", at positions 569 to 774 of the family's 1533-position model. Lineage: Bacteria; Pseudomonadati; Pseudomonadota; Alphaproteobacteria; Caulobacterales; Caulobacteraceae. The record is from RNAcentral.
GCGUAGGCGGACUGUUUAGUCAGAGGUGAAAGCCCAGGGCUCAACCUUGGAAUUGCCUUUGAUACUGGCAGUCUUGAGUACGGAAGAGGUAUGUGGAACUCCGAGUGUAGAGGUGAAAUUCGUAGAUAUUCGGAAGAACACCAGUGGCGAAGGCGACAUACUGGUCCGUUACUGACGCUGAGGCUCGAAAGCGUGGGGAGCAAACA